GGGUCUCGAGACCAAUACUGCAU
This 23-nucleotide small nuclear RNA is filed under the name Arabidopsis thaliana (thale cress). RNAcentral describes it as "snRNA_18891". The record is from RNAcentral. Lineage: Eukaryota; Viridiplantae; Streptophyta; Magnoliopsida; Brassicales; Brassicaceae.